GACGAACGCUGGCGGCGUGCUUAACACAUGCAAGUCGAACGGAAAGGCCCUGCUUGCAGGGUACUCGAGUGGCGAACGGGUGAGUAACACGUGUGUGAUCUGCCCUGCACUUCGGGAUAAGCCUGGAAAACUGGGUCUAAUACCGGAUAGGAGCCAUUUUUAGUGUGAUGGUUGGAAAGUUUUUUCGGUGUAGGAUGAGCUCGCGGCCUAUCAGCUUGUUGGUGGGGUAAUGGCCUACCAAGGCGGCGACGGGUAGCCGGCCUGAGAGGGUGGACGGCCACAUUGAGACUGAGAUACGGCCCCGACUCCUACGGGAGGCAGCAGCGGCGAAGAUUGAUCAAGGGGAGCGAGCCUGAUGCAGCGACGCCGCGGGGGGGAUGACGGCCUUCGGGUUGGAAUCGCCAUUCGCUAGGGACGAAGCUUUUUGUGACGGUACCUAGAUAAGAAGCACCGGCUAACUACGUG
This 465-nucleotide ribosomal RNA is filed under the name uncultured bacterium. RNAcentral's name for it is "partial 16S ribosomal RNA". It matches the Rfam family "Bacterial small subunit ribosomal RNA", at positions 28 to 507 of the family's 1533-position model. The record is from RNAcentral.